GGUCUUACCGAGUUUUCUACUCAAACCCCUGCGAACCUACCUUUAGUUGCUUCGGCGGUCGACCCCGGGGGGUGCUACCACGGCCGCCGACAGCACCCAAAACCUCUGUCAGUGUAUUCUGAGUAACCAAAAAACAAAUCAAAACCUUCAACAACGGAUCUCUUGGUUCUGGCAUCGAUGAAGAACGCAGCGAAAUGCGAUACGUAAUGUGAAUUGCAGAACUUUGUGAAUCAUCGAAUCUUUGAACGCACAUUGCACCCGGUGGUAUUCCGCCGGGUAUGCCUGUCUGAGCGUCAUUUCUACCCUCAAGCCCGGCUUGGUGUUGGCGGAUUGCCCCCCCGGGCAACCGCUGAAAACGAAUGGCGGUAGCACACCCGUCCUCUGUACAGUACAAUUCUUACAGCGGCCUCGUGGACGAACCAGCCCGUACAAAGAAAUAGCAAGUUGACCUCAGAUCAGGUAGGAAUACCCGCUGAACUUAAGCAUAUCAAUAAGCGGAGGA
RNAcentral lists this ribosomal RNA (502 nucleotides) under uncultured Hypocreales. RNAcentral describes it as "eukaryotic LSU rRNA". The stretch from base 143 to 296 matches the Rfam family "5.8S ribosomal RNA". Lineage: Eukaryota; Fungi; Ascomycota; Sordariomycetes; Hypocreales. The record is from RNAcentral.